GAUGAACGCUGGCGGCGUGCCUAAUACAUGCAAGUCGAGCGAACAGACGAGGAGCUUGCUCCUCUGACGUUAGCGGCGGGCGGGUGAGUAACACGUGGAUAACCUACCUAUAAGACUGGGAUAACUUCGGGAAACCGGAGCUAAUACCGGAUAAUAUAUUGAACCGCAUGGUUCAAUAGUGAAAGACGGUUUUGCUGUCACUUAUAGAUGGAUCCGCGCCGCAUUAGCUAGUUGGUAAGGUAACAGCUUACCAAGGCAACGAUGCGUAGCCGACCUGAGAGGGUGAUCAGCCACACUGGAACUGAGACACGGUCCAGACUCCUACGGGAGGCAGCAGUAGGGAAUCUUCCGCAAUGGGCGAAAGCCUGACGGAGCAACGCCGCGUGAGUGAUGAAGGUCUUCGGAUCGUAAAGCUCUGUUAUUAGGGAAGAACAAAUGUGUAAGUAACUAUGCACGUCUUGACGGUACCUAAUCAGAAAGCCACGGCUAACUACGUG
This 497-nucleotide ribosomal RNA is filed under the name uncultured bacterium. RNAcentral describes it as "partial 16S ribosomal RNA". It matches the Rfam family "Bacterial small subunit ribosomal RNA", at positions 28 to 507 of the family's 1533-position model. The record is from RNAcentral.